This 55-nucleotide transfer RNA is filed under the name Strongyloides cebus. RNAcentral describes it as "tRNA-His". The record is from RNAcentral. Lineage: Eukaryota; Metazoa; Nematoda; Chromadorea; Rhabditida; Strongyloididae.
AGCUGUUUAGUUUAAUUUAAAAUAUUUAGUUGUGGUCUAAAGGAUGAAAUAGCUU